This 494-nucleotide ribosomal RNA is filed under the name uncultured bacterium. RNAcentral describes it as "partial 16S ribosomal RNA". It matches the Rfam family "Bacterial small subunit ribosomal RNA", at positions 28 to 507 of the family's 1533-position model. The record is from RNAcentral.
GACGAACGCUGGCGGCGUGCUUAACACAUGCAAGUCGAACGGAAAGGCCUGCUUUCCCUUGUGGAUUGCGGGUACUCGAGUGGCGAACGGGUGAGUAACACGUGAGUGAUCUGCCCCCAACUUGGGUAUAAGCCUGGGAAACUGGGUCUAAUUCCCGAUAGGACUGCAGGGUGGUGCCUGUGGUGGAAAACGAUUUUCUAGUGGUUGGGGAUGAGCUCGCGGCCUAUCAGCUUGUUGGUGGGGUAAUGGCCUACCAAGGCGGCGACGGGUAGCCGGCCUGAGAGGGUGGACGGCCACAUUGGGACUGAGAUACGGCCCAGACUCCUACGGGAGGCAGCAGUGGGGAAUAUUGCACAAUGGGCGGAAGCCUGAUGCAGCGACGCCGCGUGGGGGAUGACGGCCUUCGGGUUGUAAACUCCUUGCGACCGCGAGGAAGCCACCUGGUUGGAAGGGUGGUGACGGUAGUGGUAGAAGAAGCACCGGCUAACUACGUG